Molecule: ribosomal RNA, 374 nt
Filed under: uncultured organism
Description: partial 16S ribosomal RNA
Rfam family: Bacterial small subunit ribosomal RNA
Source: RNAcentral
GUAGGUGGCAAGCGUUGUCCGGAAUUAUUGGGGCGUAAAGCGCGCGCAGGCGGUUCUUUAAGUCUGAUGUGAAAGCCCACGGGCUCAACCGUGGAGGGUCAUUGGAAACUGGAGAACUUGAGUACAGAAGAGGAAAGCGGAAUUCCACGUGUAGCGGUGAAAUGCGUAGAGAUGUGGAGGAACACCAGUGGCGAAGGCGGCUUUCUGGUCUGUAACUGACGCUGAGGCGCGAAAGCGUGGGGAGCAAACAGGAUUAGAUACCCUGGUAGUCCACGCCGUAAACGAUGAGUGCUAAGUGUUAGGGGGUUUCCGCCCCUUAGUGCUGCAGCUAACGCAUUAAGCACUCCGCCUGGGGAGGACGGCCGCAAAGGCUG